GCCGAGGUGGCGGAAUUGGUCUACGCGCGUCACUUAAGAUGACGUGACCGAAAGGUCAUGAGGGUUCAAAUCCCUCCCUCGGCA
Molecule: transfer RNA, 84 nt
Filed under: Candidatus Kaiserbacteria bacterium CG10_big_fil_rev_8_21_14_0_10_51_14
Lineage: Bacteria; Candidatus Kaiseribacteriota
Description: tRNA-Leu
Rfam family: tRNA
About the family: Transfer RNA (tRNA) molecules are approximately 80 nucleotides in length. Their secondary structure includes four short double-helical elements and three loops (D, anti-codon, and T loops).
Source: RNAcentral